This 64-nucleotide transfer RNA is filed under the name Dipodomys ordii (Ord's kangaroo rat). It matches the Rfam family "tRNA". Rfam says of the family: Transfer RNA (tRNA) molecules are approximately 80 nucleotides in length. Lineage: Eukaryota; Metazoa; Chordata; Mammalia; Rodentia; Heteromyidae. The record is from Rfam by way of RNAcentral.
GGUGCUCAGUGGUAGAGUGCUUGCCUUGCAUGCAUGAGGGCCUGGGUUCAAUUCCUCAGCACCA